UUAAAAUAAGCAAGACUAGAGAAACAUGAUUAUACAGUAAAUCUCAUGAUUAUAUCUUGUCGGGGAUAUAAAUCUUCUAAAAGGCUUGUCUAUGACUGUGUUCCUCACAGAUUUAUGCAUCAUAAUCCUUUAGAUUCAACAGCAGAAUACGAAAAACACAAGUGGCUUGACCAUUGAUUCAGAUUACUUUAGGUUGCAUCACAAGAAUUUUACUUCAAUUAUGUACAAAUAUACAACAACAGCAUACCCACAUAAUCAACAUGUCUUGCACAAGACAUUGUACGGAGGAAAGGCAAAGUCAAGAAAGGUUCCCCAACGGUAAUAUCCCUUCCAAAUUCAAUUCCUUUUAGUUCAAAUCUUCCAGAAAUUGGAACGAUUUCGUAUGUUGUGAAAUUGAAGCUGGAGUCGGUGGAAAGCUUCAGCAAUUCAUUGCUCCCAAGCUCGCUUCUCCUAGAAAGGUAAUCUUCAUUCCUUUUUAUGUUUUUUUAUUCUCUUUCUCUGUUUUAUCAGCUUUAGAAUGAUCUGCUUCUCAGUUUGGUAAUGAUAUUUUGCUUUAUAGUUCCAAUUUCACUUUUCAAUGUAUUGAACCUAAGGUUCAAAUUUUGUUCAUCAGUAAUCAUUAAUUUUCUUGUGAUUAGUGAAUUUAAGAUCAAUAAACUUUUGUCUUUGUAGUUCAUCAAUAUACAACUGGACUCCUUUUUGACUCUUUGUGCAGUUGGAUUAUGUAUUAGCUUAUGCAUUUUUCCUUAAAUGUGUUUAAAUGGGGCAAAAGGAUGAUUCAUAUGAUCUGCUAACCUUGAAUUUGUGCGUAAUAAAGAAAUGUAGUUAUAAGAUUAAACUCACAAUAGGCUUAUUUUGAUUCGUUUUUUUUAUUUGAUUAUCACAAAAAUGCCUUAACAUUUGACAAGUUUCAUUCUGAUCCUUAAAACGAUGAUACUAUAUACCUUGGGUUUGAAUCUCAAAAUGCCCCCAAUUCUUGAUUGUUGUUCUGUUUGCACAUUUAUAAUGUAUGCCCUUCUAGGAUAUUUUGUGUUCUAAAUUAGUUAAGAUUCAUGAUUUUGCCCCGCCUUCAACUAUUCCAUUUCAUGUUGGAUAAUGAUUUACCUAUAAAAAAUCAUUUAUAUGUUUAUAACUUAACCUUCCUGAGAUUUCCUCUAUUGAAAUGGUAAGCAGAUCAACCUAUUGAGCCGAGAUUGUCUCAUGAACCAUGCUUAAUUAACUAUAAUGUGAAGUGGUACAGAUAUGACUAUUUUGGGGUUGUGAAAAUUGACAUUGAUUUCCUCUUACCGAUUUCUAAUUUUCUCAUUAUUUUCUUUACUUGAUCCCUCUCAAACGAGCCUAUGUGGACUCUCGCUCAACAUCUACGCUCAAGCUGUUGUUUUGUGGAAGCAGCUCUCAACCUCAAUGGAACUUUCUUACGGAAAAUAAUAUGUACAAUAUCUAAAUGAUUGCAGUAUUUUAAAAGUUUCAAUGGCAUCAUUCGAAAAUUAUGAAAAGUGGUCCCUUCAUUGCCGAAAAAUGGAAGGGAGAGUUUAAAAUGAAAUGUCUGUGUAAUACUAUAUAGAUUAACGGUGUAUUUAUGGCCUUAUAUAAACUAUGUUGAGGUGGGUACUUUCACAGAGAUUUAAACCUGAUGUUUAAUGCUAAUUUAACACUCCAUUGAAUUAUUCAUAUUUCUUAUUCUCAAAGAAAAAUAUUCG
This is a long non-coding RNA of Solanum tuberosum (potato), 1700 nucleotides long. RefSeq lists it as uncharacterized. Lineage: Eukaryota; Viridiplantae; Streptophyta; Magnoliopsida; Solanales; Solanaceae. The transcript has 3 exons. The record is from RefSeq and is a predicted model, not a curated record.